Molecule: ribosomal RNA, 230 nt
Filed under: Microbispora bryophytorum
Lineage: Bacteria; Bacillati; Actinomycetota; Actinomycetes; Streptosporangiales; Streptosporangiaceae
Description: partial 23S ribosomal RNA
Rfam family: Bacterial large subunit ribosomal RNA
Source: RNAcentral
GGGUUGUGAGGUUAAGCGACUAAGCGUACACGGUGGAUGCCCUGGCAGUCAGAGGCGAUGAAGGACGUGCUAAUCUGCGAUAAGCGUCGGUAAGGUGAUAUGAACCGUUAUAACCGGCGAUUUCCGAAUGGGGAAACCCAGUGUGAUUCGUCACACUAUCAUUACGUGAAUACAUAGCGUAAUGAAGCGAACCGGGGGAACUGAAACAUCUAAGUACCCCGAGGAAAAGA